Molecule: ribosomal RNA, 1298 nt
Filed under: Salmonella enterica
Lineage: Bacteria; Pseudomonadati; Pseudomonadota; Gammaproteobacteria; Enterobacterales; Enterobacteriaceae
Also listed under: 1 other name
Description: partial 23S ribosomal RNA
Rfam family: Bacterial large subunit ribosomal RNA
Source: RNAcentral
AGACCCGAAACCCGGUGAUCUAGCCAUGGGCAGGUUGAAGGUUGGGUAACACUAACUGGAGGACCGAACCGACUAAUGUUGAAAAAUUAGCGGAUGACCUGUGGCUGGGGGUGAAAGGCCAAUCAAACCGGGAGAUAGCUGGUUCUCCCCGAAAGCUAUUUAGGUAGCGCCUCGUGAAUUCAUCUCCGGGGGUAGAGCACUGUUUCGGCUAGGGGGCCAUCCCGGCUUACCAACCCGAUGCAAACUGCGAAUACCGGAGAAUGUUAUCACGGGAGACACACGGCGGGUGCUAACGUCCGUCGUGAAGAGGGAAACAACCCAGACCGCCAGCUAAGGUCCCAAAGUCAUGGUUAAGUGGGAAACGAUGUGGGAAGGCCCAGACAGCCAGGAUGUUGGCUUAGAAGCAGCCAUCAUUUAAAGAAAGCGUAAUAGCUCACUGGUCGAGUCGGCCUGCGCGGAAGAUGUAACGGGGCUAAACCAUGCACCGAAGCUGCGGCAGCGACACUGUGUGUUGUUGGGUAGGGGAGCGUUCUGUAAGCCUGUGAAGGUGUGUCGUGAGGCAUGCUGGAGGUAUCAGAAGUGCGAAUGCUGACAUAAGUAACGAUAAAGCGGGUGAAAAGCCCGCUCGCCGGAAGACCAAGGGUUCCUGUCCAACGUUAAUCGGGGCAGGGUGAGUCGACCCCUAAGGCGAGGCCGAAAGGCGUAGUCGAUGGGAAACGGGUUAAUAUUCCCGUACUUGGUGUUACUGCGAAGGGGGGACGGAGAAGGCUAUGUUGGCCGGGCGACGGUUGUCCCGGUUUAAGCGUGUAGGUGUGUGUUCCAGGUAAAUCCGGUUCACUUUAACACUGAGGCGUGACGACGAGGCACUACGGUGCUGAAGCAACAAAUGCCCUGCUUCCAGGAAAAGCCUCUAAGCAUCAGGUAACAUCAAAUCGUACCCCAAACCGACACAGGUGGUCAGGUAGAGAAUACCAAGGCGCUUGAGAGAACUCGGGUGAAGGAACUAGGCAAAAUGGUGCCGUAACUUCGGGAGAAGGCACGCUGACACGUAGGUGAAGUGAUUUACUCAUGGAGCUGAAGUCAGUCGAAGAUACCAGCUGGCUGCAACUGUUUAUUAAAAACACAGCACUGUGCAAACACGAAAGUGGACGUAUACGGUGUGACGCCUGCCCGGUGCCGGAAGGUUAAUUGAUGGGGUCAGCGCAAGCGAAGCUCCUGAUCGAAGCCCCGGUAAACGGCGGCCGUAACUAUAACGGUCCUAAGGUAGCGAAAUUCCUUGUCGGGUAAGUUCCGACCUG